CUCCCUGCUUCUGCAUGUGAACUUGAGCAAGCCAUUGAAACUUCCCAGGCUUCUGCAGCCUUAAUGUGUCAGGCAAGGUUAUCUGUGACCGCCCCUCCCAACCUCACACAUAGGGAUUGACAGGACAGAUGGGACCGAUAGGAGACCCAGUGAAUAGAAGCCCAAGUUGUCUCCCCCUGAGAUGCCCAGGUCAGAGGGCUCACACCGCCGCCCCCCCCCCCCCCCCCCCUCCAGCAGAGGGUCCAGCUGUAAGUAGCUUCUGGCUGUUUACCUUGGCAUCUGUUAGGCUCCUGUGGUUGGGGCAUGGGGGAGACACCAGAGAGGGGACACUGGAGAGGAUACAGUGGCAGAGUGGGUAGGGGAGGGGUAGAGGCUCUGGGUCAACACACUUGGUGGAUAUGGGGCAAAGCUGCCAUGAACACAGCCUCUUCCUCCUCUCCAGCCAGCUGCUGUGCUGACAACCAGGGGCAGAUCUGUUUGGGAAGCAGGAGGCAGAGGGGAGAGGGCAGGGUAGAGAGCAGUGCUACCAGCCAGAUAUCGUGAGGCCUGUGUCCUAGGAAAGGCAGGGAGGUCCUGGCUUGAGAUUUGGCCUUAACUCCCUCUGCUGAAUGCCUGGGAGCUCCUGAGAAUCGGGGAGAAGGGGUCUUGGAGACCUCAAAGUCAACUUCUUUAUUCCACAGUGAGGGAGAGCAGACCGGGAGAGGGAGAAGGUCAUGCUCAAGGUCUCAGAGCUUGUGGAUUGCAGAGCUGAGAGCUGAUCUAUUCACUGAGGGUUUUAGGCAUUUCUGAUCAUCUCCCAGAAGGGUCGCCCCCAGUCCUAACCAAUACAUGAAUAAGAUAGGGUGGCUCUGGCUGUGACUUCUGAUGGCAGGGGCCUUCAGUCCUUGACAUCCAGCCUAUUAGGCGGUAACUCUGUGCAGCAGAGGCAAAAGUAGAGUAGGUCUGGGCUCCGCCACUGGCUCCCUAUGUGACCUUGGCCAAAUCUUCUCCCUCCUCUGGGCCUGGUUUCCUCAUCAGGGGUAAGUAUUCCUGCCGUUUUGUGUUGACAGAUUCAGAGUCUAAAGUGGGACAUUCUCUUAUCUCAGAUAUCUGCAACUUGAUUACAGACUGGUUCUUAACCCAGCCUGAUGAGAGAUGAGAGAGAUUCUUAACCGUACCUGUAAAAUUUAGGAGGUCUGGGGUUCACUAACCCGCAUCAUUUUUCUGGGAACCCAGGCCGGCCCUGGAGACCACAGGGGCAGGCUGUCUGAGUGACGCGAGGCUGAGAGUGCCCACCCCUGUCCCAGAAGCAUGCAGGUCGGUGGAUCCCAGAGGUGAAAGGAGUUUAUGUUUACUGAGAGAUUUUUUUUUUUUUAAUGUUCCUUGUUCUCUGUAUGUGUUAUUUCAUUGAAAUGUCACCACCGCGUCAGUCACUACCACUGAGCUCAUUUUAUACAUGAGGAAACUGAGGCGUGGAUAAAGUAAGUACAUCCAGUGACACAGCAAGCAAGUGGUUCACGGGGCUCCAAAGCCUUGCACCACGCGGCUUCUCUACCCUCUGCUUCUGCUGGCCAGAGGGGGCGCUGCAGAGGCCUCGGGGCAAGGGCGCCCCCUGGCAACAAAGGGGGCUGCCUGUCCUGCCAGGGGCUCUGCCAACGCCUUUGCCAAGGCAGCUCUCAAGCCGCCCCCUCCUUUCAGAAGCCUCCUCGAAGCCCCCAGGGCGAGGGGUUCCUGACUGUACUUCCACAGCGCCUUGCCUGGGCCUCUCUUAUAGCCUCUCCUUGUGUUAGUAUGUUUAUGUUCUUGCAGUUUGUAGGAAACGAAGUCAUACUAGGGCUUCUCCCUCAUUACCCCGCAAAGCGCUCCGGGACAGGGACUGCGGCACGCAUCGCCCAUGGCACCUAGUAGAGGCCCUGCAAAGAGUGGUAGGUGAUCAGUGAAUAUCUGCGGCAUGAACACUUGAUAGUGACCCUUCUGAAGAUGGUCAAAAGUGAUUUCAUACACAUUAUCUGGUGGACCCAUCCAUUCGCACCGUGUGGGCUUCCCAGUAGCCUGCCUAGACUUCACUAGAGGUCGGGGUCAAAGACAAAGUAGAUGCCUGUCUGCACAGGGAGCUCCAAGUUGUGGGGAGGAGGUGGGGUGGCAAAGCCAAGAGCCUAAGAAAGGGACGAAACAAAAUAAGAACUGGAAACACUGACCACGGCAGGAGGCGCAGCUCAGCACGCGCUUGGGUGAAGCCCACAGGGGGCCCCCCAGCCCGGUGUUGGGGGGUUGUCAGGGAAGGCAGCAAGGGCUGGGGACACAGGGUGGGGCUUCGCGGCCAGGCAGGAGUGCGGCAGCCAGGGGAAGGGGGUGGGGGAGGCUGGGGGAGCCUCAGGGGAGCCCCUGGUGGGGGACUGGGCACAUUUAGUAGCUGAGUACGGCAGCUGCCUGGCGUGGAAAGGGAGUUUUGAGGACGUAGGUGGGAAGAAAGAACGGGAACGACACCUUUGACCUGAACCUGAAGUGCUUUGUGUUCCUCAAAUCCCUUCCGCAUCUAUGAUCUCAAAUUAGCUGACAAACAGCAGCGGCUGCACCCUGAGCGCUUCCCUGCACAGGGCUGCUCCUCGGGCGCCUGUGUGUGCCAUCUGCCUGACCUCCGGCCACAACCCUGAACGUAGGCGCUGUCACCACCUCCUCUGUGCAGAAGGGGACGCUGAGGCCCUGAGAGGGUGGGCUUCUCCAGGAGGGGAGGAGUAGGCCCUGUCAUUCUCACGCCGCAGUGGAGGACAGGACAGGUGUCUGGUCCUGGGACUGGAGCUCAGGCCUCUACAUUCCCAGCCCAGUGCUCUCCCCCAGAAGUUUCUCUGCCCCCUCAGAUCACGAUGUCUGGACUAAAGCCAACAGCCAGAUUGUGAGUGGACAUCAACUCAGGCCGCCCUGGUGUUUCUCCACCGAUGAGCUCCCGCCUCUGCCACUAAGGGGCCAGGACGUCACUGCCGACCGCAGCGACCUGGGCUUUGAGUCAGCCAGUGGUUCAAGGGCAGAAACCAUUCCCUCCCUCCUGGGCACACGCUGCCCAGGAGGUUCCACCGUAGGCACCAGGGCUUGCCGCUCAUUUCAGUUGGCAGAGUUAAUCCAGCGAACCCGAGUUCGUAACAGUCUCCAGUAUCCCUUCUGGUGCUUCCUGUCCCCUCCACACCCACCUGUCCUGGGGCUCUUGGUCACCAGGGAAGCAGGGGCCUGUCUGUUGGUCUCCUCCAGCAGGACGCAAACUCAGUAGUCCUGCCCUACCCGUGAGGUCCCCGCUUUCCUUCCGUCCUCAAAGUUCCCCGGGCUGUGGUCUGCAGCAUGAACGGUCUCCUCUGUCCUGCUUCUCCCUUUUUUGAACCUUCUCUAGUGACUUACUUCUGGGGAAGGAAUGUUCUUUGCAGCGACAGCUGCAGUUGUUCCAGACUGCAGCAACGUCCUCUUCUUUCGAAUCCUGGUUCCUGAAAUAUUUUUUGCUUUUCCUUCUCUUCCUUCCUUAAUUGCCUCUCUUGUUCUCCCUUCCUGGAAGGAGCUCAGAGCACAAUGGUGACAAUGCCCUUGGCCCCUGAGCCCACCACCUUCCCUGAAGCUACAACUAGCCAUUGGCCCUCUAGUCGGUUGCCCAGUCUGUGACCUACUUUGCCCCCUGCGUGCUCCUUUCUACCAUCUGGCUCUGUGAACCCUAAAGUCUUCCCCGGUGACCCCCAUUUGUCACCUCACAUGGUUCUGGAAUGAACGUAUGUUAUCUACUCCUCAUGCUCACAGAUCCUCAGCCACUGAGGCAGGGACCAGAGUAGAUAGGUAAUUGGUUCUCAGAGUAGUCUGGUUUGGAUCCUGGCCACUGCCCACAGCCAUACGACCUUGACUGAGACUUCACCAUAUUUCUUUGAGGUGUUGUGCAGAGAUCAUGUGAUCCAAAUUUUAAAUUACAUUAGUACUUAAACAAUAAGCUUCAACAAAUGGUAGCUAUUUAUUCACAGUAACAGCUUUUCAAACGAUUUCUGGGAUUGUAAAUUUGAAAGUGGUUGGAAAUUCCAAAAUGCUUCCCCUUCUCAACUGGAAACCCUAUGAGGGCAGGGACCUUGUCUUUUGUCCAUGAUGUCUGGUACUUGGUAGACCCUUAAUGUCCACACAGCAGUACCCCCCUUACCCGUGGUCUCACUUUCUGUGGUUACUUGUGGUCAACUGCAGUCGAAGUAGAUGAUCCUCCUUCCGACCUGUCAUCAGAAGGUCAGUAGCAGCCUAACGCUACGUCACAGUGCCUACGUCAUUCACCUCACUUCAUCUCAUCACGUAGACCAUGUCAAAUCAUCACAAGAAAGAUGAGUACAGUUCAGUAAGAGAUUUUGAGAGAGAGAAACCACAUUCACAAAACUUAUUACAGUAUAUUAUUAUCAUUGCUCGAUUUUGCUCAGUUAUUAUUAAUCUCUCACUGUGCCUAACUUAUAAAUUACUUUAUCAAGGCAUGUAUCUAUAGGAAAAAACAGGAUGGAUAGGGCUCGGUACUCUCUGAGGUUUCAGGCAUCGCCUGGGGGUCCUGGAACAUACUUCCCGUGGAUGAGGGGCAGGGGACUACUGUAUUUAUUUUUGGAUGAAUGAAUAAAUCUAUACUGUCUUCAAUUCUG
Molecule: long non-coding RNA, 4613 nt
Organism: Leopardus geoffroyi (Geoffroy's cat)
Lineage: Eukaryota; Metazoa; Chordata; Mammalia; Carnivora; Felidae
Exons: 2
Source: RefSeq, a predicted model, not a curated record